AAGCGUGUAGGUGUGUGUUCCAGGUAAAUCCGGUUCACUUUAACACUGAGGCGUGACGACGAGGCACUACGGUGCUGAAGCAACAAAUGCCCUGCUUCCAGGAAAAGCCUCUAAGCAUCAGGUAACAUCAAAUCGUACCCCAAACCGACACAGGUGGUCAGGUAGAGAAUACCAAGGCGCUUGAGAGAACUCGGGUGAAGGAACUAGGCAAAAUGGUGCCGUAACUUCGGGAGAAGGCACGCUGACACGUAGGUGA
RNAcentral lists this ribosomal RNA (256 nucleotides) under Salmonella enterica subsp. enterica serovar Heidelberg. Its description in RNAcentral is "partial 23S ribosomal RNA". It matches the Rfam family "Bacterial large subunit ribosomal RNA", at positions 1514 to 1765 of the family's 2925-position model. RNAcentral also lists the same sequence under 6 other names. The record is from RNAcentral. Lineage: Bacteria; Pseudomonadati; Pseudomonadota; Gammaproteobacteria; Enterobacterales; Enterobacteriaceae.